GCCAAAGAUGAAGCUGCUCUCAAGGUCAUCCGAGAGCAGCUCCAGUGCAGAGAUAAGGAUGAGGGGCAGCAGCUCCUGUUCCUUCAGGCCAUCUAGCCCGCAUGUCUGGCUGCACGGGAGAGAGGGGAGGACACGCUGGAGCCGCGCUGCUGCAAGGCGGCUGUGGUGAAGAGGAUCGUGGAGCUCAUCGAGGAGCUUCCCGAUGACUCGUCACCCAGCGCCGUCCUCGCCCACUCCCUGGCUGCAGUGGGCAACCUCUGCACCAUGAAACCUGCCCAGGAGCCAGCCCUAGAGACCCACCUCUUGCGAGCUGCCCUUCACUCCGUCUUCACCCUGGGCAUGGAGAAGGACACCACCGGCAUCCAGG
Long non-coding RNA from Chelonia mydas (Green sea turtle), 367 nucleotides. RefSeq lists it as uncharacterized. The record is from RefSeq and is a predicted model, not a curated record. The transcript is spliced from 4 exons. NCBI's taxonomy places the organism in Eukaryota, Metazoa, Chordata, Testudines, Cheloniidae.